RNAcentral lists this long non-coding RNA (489 nucleotides) under Equus caballus (horse). Its description in RNAcentral is "lncRNA (ENSECAG00000051323.1)". The record is from RNAcentral. Lineage: Eukaryota; Metazoa; Chordata; Mammalia; Perissodactyla; Equidae.
UGAUGAGGUCACUGCACUGCCCAGUCUUCAAGGGGGGAUGACUCAGGAAAUAGAAGAAGACACAUCUGAGAAGGUGUUGCCAUCUUCCCACCUGAGUGUUGUGUUGCAGACGCAGCCACAGCUGUGAAAUCUCCUAGCAUUUCCUUCUUCGACUGGAACUCUGGCUGUGGAACAGAGAUCAGGAGAGUACUGGGCUUGGGGCUGCUCAUCUCCCUGGAAAAAUUUGCAGCCAAUGCAAGUGGAGAAACCAUGUCUGAGAAAGGCAAAAUAAGCCACCCCAAAAUACGCAGCUGUGAAGUGACCAGCACAGGUCUCCAUCUGCUGGCAGUGAUGUCUUUGAAUCCUGGCAGUGCCCAAGAACUAGUGGGACUGUCAUCUGUCUCUUCGGUGUCCUCCUCUGCCCUGACCUAGAGUCCACAAGCUAAAGGCACUAACGAACACCACUGGCUUACUGGUAGACUGAUGUCUCUAGAUGCUUCUGCCAAAACA